RNAcentral lists this ribosomal RNA (254 nucleotides) under uncultured bacterium. RNAcentral describes it as "partial 16S ribosomal RNA". It matches the Rfam family "Bacterial small subunit ribosomal RNA", at positions 524 to 776 of the family's 1533-position model. The record is from RNAcentral.
UACAGAGGGUGCAAACGUUGUUCGGAAUUACUGGGCAUAAAGCGCGCGUAGGCGGCGACGUAAGUGUAGGGUGAAAUCCCACGGCUCACCCGUGUGAAUUGCCCCGCAUACUGCGUUGCUUGAGUGUGGUAGGGGAGAGCGGAACUCCUGGUGGAGCGGUGAAAUGCGUAGAUAUCAGGAGGAACACCGGUGGCGUAGGCGGCUCUCUGGUCCAUAACUGACGCUGAAGUGCGAAAGCUAGGGUAGCGAACGGG